RNAcentral lists this ribosomal RNA (403 nucleotides) under uncultured bacterium. RNAcentral describes it as "partial 16S ribosomal RNA". It matches the Rfam family "Bacterial small subunit ribosomal RNA", at positions 28 to 526 of the family's 1533-position model. The record is from RNAcentral.
GACGAACGCUGGCGGCGUGCCUAAUACAUGCAAGUCGAACGCAGUGGGGACGGGUGAGUAACACGUGGGUAACCUCCCAUCAGAGGGGAUAACACUUGGAAACAGGUGCUAAACCGAUACUGAUGGAUGGACCCGCGGUGCAUUAGCUAGUUGGUGAGGUAACGGCUCACCAAGGCCACGAUGCAUAGCCGACCGGGAGGGGUGAUCGGCCAACAUGGGAAUUAGACACGGCCCCGACUCCUGAGGGAGGCAGGAGUAGGGAAUUUUUGGCAAAGGACGAAAGGCUUAACGAGCAACGCCGCGGUAGUGAAAAAGGUUUUCGGAUCGGAAAACCCUGUUGUUAGGGAAGCGGUAUCUAACCAAGAAGGCACGGCUUACUACGUGCCAACAGCCGCGGUAAUAC